RNAcentral lists this ribosomal RNA (433 nucleotides) under uncultured bacterium. Its description in RNAcentral is "partial 16S ribosomal RNA". It matches the Rfam family "Bacterial small subunit ribosomal RNA", at positions 29 to 507 of the family's 1533-position model. The record is from RNAcentral.
AACGAACGCUGGCGGCAUGCCUAACACAUGCAAGUCGAACGAGACCUUCGGGUCUAGUGGCGCACGGGUGCGUAACGCGUGGGAACCUGCCCUUAGGUUCGGAAUACCUCCCCGAAAGGGGUGCUAAUACCGGAUAAUGUCUUCGGACCAAAGAUUUAUCGCCUUUGGAUGGGCCCGCGUUGGAUUAGCUAGUUGGUAGGGUAAAAGCCUACCAAGGCGACGAUCCAUAGCUGGUCUGAGAGGAUGAUCAGCCACACUGGGACUGAGACACGGCCCAGACUCCUACGGGAGGCAGCAGUGGGGAAUAGUGGACAAUGGGCGAAAGGCUGAUGCAGCAAUGCCGGGUGAGUGAUGAAGGCCUGAGGGUUGUAAAGCUCUUUUAACCGGGAUGAUAAUGACAGUACCGGGAGAAUAAGCGCCGGCUAACUCCGUG